Castor canadensis (American beaver) is the source of this 91-nucleotide small nucleolar RNA. Its record names the gene SNORD14. It matches the Rfam family "Small nucleolar RNA SNORD14". From Rfam's summary of the family: U14 small nucleolar RNA (U14 snoRNA) is required for early cleavages of eukaryotic precursor rRNAs. In yeasts, this molecule possess a stem-loop region (known as the Y-domain) which is essential for function. Lineage: Eukaryota; Metazoa; Chordata; Mammalia; Rodentia; Castoridae. The record is from Ensembl.
UCACUGUGAUGAUUGAUAUCCACACAUUCGCAGUUUCCACCAGAAAGGUUUUUCCUUAUGUUGGCCAGUUCUUCCUUGGAUGUCUGAGUGA